Molecule: ribosomal RNA, 271 nt
Filed under: uncultured prokaryote
Description: partial 16S ribosomal RNA
Rfam family: Bacterial small subunit ribosomal RNA
Source: RNAcentral
UACGUAGGGGGCGAGCGUUAUCCGGAUUUAUUGGGUUUAAAGGGUGCGCAGGCGGGAGAUUAAGUCGGCGGUGAAAUUUUGCAGCUCAACUGUAAAAGUGCCUUCGAAACUGGUUUCCUUGAGUGUAGAUGAAGUAGGCGGAAUUUGUGGUGUAGCGGUGAAAUGCAUAGAUAUCACGAGGAACUCCGAUUGCGCAGGCAGCUUACUAAACUACUACUGACGCUCAGGCACGAAGGCGUGGGGAUCAAACAGGAUUAGAUACCCUGGUAGU